RNAcentral lists this ribosomal RNA (508 nucleotides) under uncultured bacterium. Its description in RNAcentral is "partial 16S ribosomal RNA". It matches the Rfam family "Bacterial small subunit ribosomal RNA", at positions 28 to 526 of the family's 1533-position model. The record is from RNAcentral.
GAUGAACGCUAGCUACAGGCUUAACACAUGCAAGUCGAGGGGCAGCAUAAAAUCAGCUUGCUGAUUUGAUGGCGACCGGCGCACGGGUGAGUAACACGUAUCCAACCUGGCCUUUACUCAGGGAUAGCCUUUCGAAAGAAAGAUUAAUACCUGAUGGCAUAAAUUGACCGCAUGGUUGAUUUAUUAAAGAUUUAUUGGUAAAGGAUGGGGAUGCGUUCCAUUAGCUUGUUGGUAAGGUAACGGCUUACCAAGGCAUCGAUGGAUAGGGGUUCUGAGAGGAAGGUCCCCCACACUGGAACUGAGACACGGUCCAGACUCCUACGGGAGGCAGCAGUGAGGAAUAUUGGUCAAUGGGCGGAAGCCUGAACCAGCCAAGUAGCGUGAAGGAUGACUGCCCUAUGGGUUGUAAACUUCUUUUAUAAGGGAAUAAAGGGUCCUACGUGUAGGAUUUUGUAUGUACCUUAUGAAUAAGCAUCGGCUAACUCCGUGCCAGCCGCCGCAGUAAAAC